AGCUCCAAUAGCGUAUAUUAAAGUUGUUGCAGUUAAAAAGCUCGUAGUUGAAUUUCUGGUACGGUGCGCCUGGCCCGCUGCCGCAAGGUACGCGAGUGUCGGUGUGCGUCUGCCAUCUUUGUAGGGAAACUCCUCUUUACUGGGGAGUGGAACUACAUCUUUUACUUUGAAAAAAUUAGAGUGUUUAAAGCAGGCUUGCGCUAUGAAUACAUUAGCAUGGAAUAAUAAUUUAGGACUUCGUUUCUAUUUUGUUGGUUUCUAGGGAUGAAGUAAUGAUUGAUAGGGAUAGUUGGGGGUGCUAGUAUUCAUCGGCCAGAGGUGAAAUUCUUGGAUUCGAUGAAGACUAACUUAUGCGAAAGCAUUCACCAAGGAUGUCUUCU
RNAcentral lists this ribosomal RNA (380 nucleotides) under uncultured Cercozoa. RNAcentral describes it as "SSU rRNA". It matches the Rfam family "Eukaryotic small subunit ribosomal RNA", at positions 587 to 972 of the family's 1831-position model. The record is from RNAcentral. Lineage: Eukaryota; Cercozoa.